CACACACAAUUUCUGCUGUCUUGGAGAAAAAAACACAUGCUUGGUUCCAAGCAAAGCAGAAAAGGAUGACCUUUCCAGGGCAGGGCUGGGCGAGAAGCGUCUUACCUUUCAAGGAGUCCAGAAAUGAGGCUGAGCUUGGCAGAGAAACUGGACUGGCUGGACCUCCUCAGCUGUGUGUAUGCUGCGGACAGGAAUUUCCUUUUGUAGAGAUAAAAAUGCACAGUGAAUCUUGCAUGAGGGCUUCUGAGGUGUCAGCGAGUGGUUCAGAUAGUAGGUCUGAGGCGUCAGCAAGUGCUUCAGAUAGUAGACUACCCAGACAGGCAGUCAGGUAUAAUCCA
Molecule: long non-coding RNA, 338 nt
Organism: Osmerus eperlanus (European smelt)
Lineage: Eukaryota; Metazoa; Chordata; Actinopteri; Osmeriformes; Osmeridae
Exons: 3
Source: RefSeq, a predicted model, not a curated record